Long non-coding RNA from Piliocolobus tephrosceles (Ugandan red Colobus), 2340 nucleotides. The record is from Ensembl. NCBI's taxonomy places the organism in Eukaryota, Metazoa, Chordata, Mammalia, Primates, Cercopithecidae.
CUGCGAGGCUGCUGUGGCGUUGCCACUUUGCUGGGAAAAGGCCUCUUAUCUUUUAUUUCCCUUGCAUUUCUUUCAAGUCUACCAUUGACCAUUUUUCACACAUGCGGUCAUCAUUGUAGUUUGCCCCUAUUUUGUGAGGUUUGGUGUAUUCUUAAUUUUAAAGCUUCCUGGGUUUUGAGGAGAGCAUAUUCUGUCAUUGUAUUGAACAGGUGUUUUCCCCAGCUUGGAUUUGUUUGGCCAUUAGCUUGUUUUCUGCUAUUUUACAAGAGUUUGUUUUUCUUCAUUACAAAAGGACUGUGCUGAGGGUCCCCCAGGCUCACCGUGCUUCGGGGUGUGAGGCAGCAGGGCAGGCAGGUGUCCUUCCUUCUUUGAAGUGUGGGUUGGGGCGGGACAGCAGACCGUGGGGUCACUGCUGAGGACGGAAAGGACGGGAUUAGGACUGUUCUGUUCCUGGCCUCAGGAGCUCCCCCAGCUCCUUCGUGUGGCUGGAGAAGAAACCUCCUGAUUGUCACGGAGAGUGAUUUGCCCGUGGAGCCUUUCCUGUCCGGCUCACAUAGAACAGGCUGUGAGGUCCCUGCACUGAGCAGCACGUGCCGGGCCAGGUCCCCACGACUUUUGGGAAAACCCAGGCCUGGGUUACAGGAAGCAAAGGUCUUUAGAUGAAGGUUUUAAGAAUGAAAAUGAACCCACAGAAUGGUAAAGUGAGUUGGAGCCUGGAUGCCGUGGGGUAAGACAGCCACCGCCAGGUAGGAGUCCCGCUCCUUCCUUUUUCCCUGUCCCCACCUGCCAGCUAUGCCCUAGAGCAGGGGCACACUCGGACCCCAACCCAGCGUCCACCCCCCUGCCUGCAGGCCUGCGAGGUCCCACAGCCCCUUGGCAUGCAGGGACUGCCCGGGGCCAGGUGUGGGCGAGGCUCAGGAUUUCCUGGCACAGCUGGCUUCAUGUUAUGGCCUGGCAGCCUUGGGUGGUGUCGGCAGAUGCAGGAAACCACGGGCCCAGCACCCUGCCUGUCCCGGCUGUGGGUGCCAAUGCUGAGGGCACCUCCUGCCUGUGACGGGCCUUGUUCCUUUCCCCUCGGAGACGUACCUCGGAUCCAUCCUGGCCUCUCAGUCAGGGCCGACUUCCCCACCCCAGUGUUUGCUACCAUGAUUGUGACCCGUUCUAAGCUGUGUUUCUGCAGCUUGGCCGGUCACCUGCAUUCUUUCCUCCCCAAAACAACCCCUCAUCACACAGCAGAGACAGUGGUCACUGAGAACACGGUCCGCCUGCCAUCUCUCCCCUUCAUGGGCACCUCUGGGGCCUCCUGCUGUGCUCCGAACAAAAGCCAGAGACCCUGUUGAACCUGCUGCGCUCUGAACAAAAGCCAGAGACCCCAUCGAACCUGGGAUCGGUUGGUAGAAGGUAGAAGAUGGGCUCCCUGUGGGACCCAGGAAGGGGACGGCCCCCUCGGCCUCACAGCUUCCCAGACAGAGCAAAAGUGUCCUUCCAGUCUCUCCACAUUUCAUCAUUAAACAAAGUUAGCUAAUUCCUUGCCUGUGGAUCGGAACCUACUUUGUCUAAGUGCUUCUGGUUAUUCCAUCCUUCAGCCACUGUGCCACGAGAAGGUUAAGUGGGACUGCCAGGUUUUGUGGGUGUUGUUUUGGUCCUGGCUGCCAGUCCACCCGUGAACAAUGUCCUCACCGGAUGGGAAGCGGCUGCUGCAGCCACACGCACAGGCCCCCGCCCCGCAGAAAACGCUACUUCCUUUUUCUGACUAGACUCGACCGGGACGCAUCAAACACCAGACACCUGCCCUCCGUUUGUGAAGUGUUUAGCUCUUCUUUCUUUUCUAUUUCUUUAACUUAUGUUUUUGGUGUGUUGUUGGUGUUGUUGGUGUUGUUUUGAGACGGAGUCUUCCUCUGUCACCCAGGCUGGAGUGCAGUGGCACGAUCUUGGCCCACUGCAACCUCUGCCUCCCAGGUUCAUACCAACCUCCUGCCUCAGCCUCCUGAGUUGCUGGGAUUAUAGGCGCCGCCACCACGCCCAGCUAAUUUUUUGUAUUUUUAGUAGAGACAGUAGAGACGGGGUUUCACCAUGUUAGCCAGGAUGGUCUCGAUCUCCUGACCUUGUGAUCCGCCCGCCUCGGCCUCCCAAAGUGCUGGGAUUACAGGUGUGAGCCACCACGCCCGGCCUAACUUAUGUUUUUAUCUUUACCAACUUCUUUCUUAAAAAUGUAUGGUUAGAAAUUUGGGGUUUCAUUUUUCUAGACAUGAUUUUUACCUACAAGAAAGGCCCACAAUAGGCAUGCAUCCUUUUCAAUGUUCUUUAUUUUAUUUUCUUCAAUGGAUUACUUCCUUUAAU